This is a long non-coding RNA of Coccinella septempunctata (seven-spotted ladybird), 4011 nucleotides long. RefSeq lists it as uncharacterized. The transcript has 2 exons. The record is from RefSeq and is a predicted model, not a curated record. NCBI's taxonomy places the organism in Eukaryota, Metazoa, Arthropoda, Insecta, Coleoptera, Coccinellidae.
UUUCUAAUUCCCUCAGCUCUGGAGUGCAAGUCUCAUUUGCUGUCGUCAAAACAAUUCUUUACGAAAUCCACUAGAUUUUUCGAGUGAAUUAAGAACGUGGUUUGAAAAUAAUUAUUCAUAAUAAUCCAGAAUGGAUAUUUAGUGAUAGUGCUAUGAAUAUCACGAACAUUCCUCCAGAGUUGAGGGAAUUGGCAACUACGGCGACGUAGCGGAGGCCAGUAAACUGGUGAGUACUCACUUUCACAAAGGUAAGAACAUGAAAGGUCGACAAAAAAUUGUCUGGCCUACCUUGAGACUCGACGGUUCCUGCUCUUUGUACAUAAACAACUAUUUUUGUUGAGAUCGACGGAAAAUAGUUGUUUAUGCAUUAGUUUAACCCAAAUAAAGUCUAAAUAACAAUUCAAAUGCUUUUUGAAUGUACUUUAAAGCCGAAAUAACUAUCAAAAAUAAAUCAUGUGAAAUAUCUGAUGAUAUAGCGUGUUUGUUCUUGAAAAUUAUAUAAUGAAAAAUUCACCUCGAUAGAAAGGAGAGCCUUAAAGUGUUUCAGCCGUGUUUGGGAGGCAUAGAGGAGACCGGAACCCCUUCCCCCUAGACUGUUUUCACGAACAACAUAACGAUAAUAACAUUAACAUACAUAAUAAUGUGACCGACUGAUACGAACAAACGAAAACCUUGUUUCAGUGUUUUUUGAUUAUUGAUUAUCUACACAAUAAUGAUGAUUAUAGCAUUCGAAUUCGAUUUUAAGUAGUGAUAUAUUGCGAGGACGGAGCAGGGCGGAACUGCAAGGUUUGAGGGCCGGCCGCUUUUCAAGAAGCUUCCACUCAGAUCUGAUCCCAAAAAAUACACCGCCACUUUUCGAACGAAGCAAAAUUAGCACUUCGAAGGAGUCGAAUUAACGUUUUGGAACUAAUCAUCCUGUAUAUAGAAACACUCUUUGCCCAUAUAUCAAGAAGUAUUCAGUGGAAAAAUAUGCAAUUUUAUCGAUUGAAAAAAAAAAGAAACAGGCAAAUAAAAUUCCAAGAGAACAUACUGACUUUGAAUUGCGCUCAAGAAUUUUUUUUUGCUCUGCAUAGAGAUUUACUUUCACAUUCCAUUUGCAUGGAAUGAAAUUCGAAUUUCCUUUGGAAUCUAGAAAAGGGCAACAAGCUGUGUAUUAAGAAAAUAUCUUCAAUAAACAGCCUCUUGAAGGAGAAGAGAUUUGUGGCAAAUUUUCAACCCUCAAUAGAGAAAAAUAGGAAAUCAAAACAUUUUUUUCUUCAAGUGAUAAGGUCAUCUAAUGUAGAUAUACAGGAGGUCUCAUGUAAGAUCACUUAUGCUUAAUUGCAUCGUUAUGAACAUUUUUCAACUUAAAGAAGCGGUGAAAUUACAACAUCCCCUCUACUUUCCCCAUCUGAACACAGACAUACAACCAGAACUUUAAAUACAAAACAGAGAUCAAGCUAUAAUUAUUACGGAAUGUGAGGUUUAUUAUUUAUUGGGACCCCAUAUAAAUCUGUACCCAUUAAAUGACUCUAUCACUUGACUGUACUGUAGUUGUUCAAGACCAAUUCAAAAUAGUCGCCUUUAUCAUCUUUUGCUUUGAAGGGGAUUGAUAAAAAUAAAUUUCGAAUAGAAAUUGGCAUUUUGCUCCUAGGAUAUCGUGAAAAAUACGAAUUUCAUUCCACGCCUGGCAUUCAAAUACAGAAAACCAUUCUUCGCUAAUUUUAAUUUGAAAUUUAGGCCCUAAUUUUUAUUAGUGUUAUUGGGACAUGAGUUUCAUUGAACGUUUAUAUGUUUAUCAAGAGGUUUGAUAGUUAUCUAACUGCUGAUUUGAUUCCAGUUUGAUUUGAAAUAUUUAGUCCUUGUUAAAAUGCAUUCAAGUAAUAGUUUGAACUUGCAGAUAUCGUAAUAAUCUCUGAAACUGAAUUUUAUCGCUUUGAUGUGAAUUGAAAUAUCAUGUAGCAGUUCGCCUGAUAUAAAGCAGUGGAAUAAUCCUUAUGAUGGCUUAUUAUGAACUAAUAAGAUUAAUGACUGAGAUUUGAGAAUGAAUCAUAAAGAUCUAGGCCUCAAUCGUGGAAAAUUAAGUGAAAGAAAACAUUCACACAUGUAAACAUUUUUUUGGACAAAAAAUAACAAGCGUUUCUGAAGUAUGUCGUCAAAUAUUAAAGCUAUGGAAUUUUGAAGAUUUGUAUUCUAUGCUGAGUGGUCAAACAUACACUGGAUUAGUGUGUCUUUCAGAUUCUAGUGUAGUGUGCGAUUUUUAUACGACAAAAUAUUAGAGUCUGUUCUAUUUAGUAGCAUUUCUGUUAUACAGUCUGUCUCUACUAUAACGCAACAAAAUUUGGUCAAAUAUAAUCGAGAUUAAAUUGGAAAACUCCUUUUUUGUUCUUUUAUCAGAAUUCCUCCUCUUUCGUAGUUGCAAUCCUGUGAAUUUCACCCCUAAAAAUAGUAUUUUUUCAUCUCAGAAUCUGGUCAGACGAAAAUCAGUGAAUUUGGUACACGUACACAGGACUUUUAUGAAUUGCGAAAUCUCAUAGACAUAUUGAGGCUAUGGGCCCCUCAAGAUACUUUCUACUGGUCCACAACGUCAGCCUCCUAAGAUUACCAAUUAGAGUACCAGACGAAUCUCGAAAUGUCUUUUCAAAAGUCUUGCGUUUCGCAAAAAACUUGAAGGACAAAUAUGCGGUUAUUUUUUGGUGGUUUCAAAGACAUUAUGGCCCAGUAAAAAGUGUCUUACAACUCUUUACCAAUUUCGGGGAUUCUGAGAUGAAAAGAAGAAACAAUUUUUAGGAGCGGAAUUUGGGGGGUUGUACCUCCAAAAUAAGAAGCCUCUUGGCAAGGAUCAGAAAUAAGAUUCUCCUAAUUUUUCUCGAAAAUCGGUGACCAAAAUUUGUUGCAUUGAUUUCGGUACACUCUGUAUAAUCGAAACGCCUAUGAAAUGAGACAAGUUCUAUCAUUUUAUCCCAUAAAAGACCCCUAUUUUCGAUUACAAACUAAGCAACAAGUUCAGGCACAGAAAACCACCCUUCAAAAUAUCAUAACUCACUUUGACUCCUCAGUUGAAAAAAAUUUGAGGCGAUACGGAAUGAAACAGACGGGUUCAGAAACGCCUGCCAACCUUGCAAAUACUCGACCAAACACUUACAAUGAAAACGCAUUUAUUUUGAAUUAUAUUUGUGCCUCUCGGUUACUUUAAUCAUUUUACAAUCCUUGGAAUGUCACCGGCUGUCAAAUCCAAGUGAUAUGGAAGAAAAUUCAUAUUGUGUUUUCAAGGUUUGACAUUAUUCAGGCAUUUUUUUUUUCGUGUUUCGUGCUUUAUUUUUAUGGUUUCGUCACAGACCACCUCCACUGUGUUCUGUGAUAGUGUCAAAGUUUUACACCACCUCUUUGCGCAGUCGCAUAGAGGUAAUACAUUAGAAGUUGAGGCAUUCUGUGACGAAACCACAAAUAUAAUGCACAAAAUACGAAAAAACGCCUGAAUAAUGCGAAAUUUUCUCCCUUAUACCUUAUACCGACAUUCCUAGAAUUAUAAAAUUAUGAAAGCAAGUGAAAGGCACAAAUAUAAUUGAAAAAAAAUACGUUUCAUUGUUUAGUCGAUAAUUUACAAGGUUGGCAAACGUUUCUGAACACGCCUAUUGAAAAAUUUCCAGCGUUCAUUCACUAGAUGAUAUUUCAAUUCACGAUGUAGACAAAACAGUCCGGCCAUUAUCGGUAUCUAGUCGUAAUGAAAUGAUCGCGUAAGAAAAUAUAUUUCGCAAAAACUGAAUCUGGGUGAAAGUUGAGGCCCGCUACCCCCCCGUCCGAUCCGGCUACGCGGGGUGGAUAUGUAACAAGGGCUAAAGCUAAUCCAACCCUAGGUAAGCUUCACACAGCCCAAAAAUACAAGCACUUAAAACAGUGCCGAAAACUAAUCAGAGUUUGUUGUUGUGAGCACUACACAGCAUUCGCACAUCGUUUACGCGCGCUUUUAACACGUUUAACUCGAUGCGCCAUUUUACUUCUUUUUUUUAAUUACGUUAUCAUUACAAAUUA